ACAGCCAGGUCUUCAGUCCGCAAGUCAUCACGUCCAUGACAGAUGUGCGUCAUGAUCCGGGACCAGUCAGGUCACUUCUUUCAUGUCUGGCAGUGCUUGGUUGCUGUGCACGUUAUUCAGUUCACACACCGACAGCAAAACGUCAGAAAGUGAUUAAGCUGGAAGUGAAGUUCUAAUAGAGUAUAAAUGGAGUUGUAGAGGAAACAGCCAACUGUGGGAACGUUCAAUCUGCAGACAUUAAAGAGACUAAACAUGCAGCCAAAGCAACUUAGUAAAGGCCAAACCAAUGUAACUGAAGAAAGUGAUUGGGAGAAAAGGAUGAAGAUGUGCCAGAUGACAACCUGCAAGAAUUCCAAGAGAUAAAACACAAAAGUUUGGGAGCUUCCCUGGAGUCUUUAACUCACAGACUUUUCCACAACAAGCCUCCAGCAAGUCAUCAAUUACAGUUCAGGUGUUCCCACCUUGGUACUAGUUUCCACAGAGAUAUCUGCUCUGGUAACUUGUUCUCCAUUUCUGCCAGUCUGUGUCUCCAAUUCUGGGGACAGCGAUUUGCCCUGUGAUCUCACUUCUCUCAUGAAUCUAAGAAGAGUUGUUGAUUUUUCAGUUUGUUCAGCUUUUUCCUUGUUAUUAGGAUGGCGUGGCAACUUCCAAGCUCCCUACAUGAUGGACUGGAAACUGGAAGUCUCAUAAGUCUUUUUACAAUGUAAUAAAACAUGUUAAUUCUCACUAUUUCUAAU
Molecule: long non-coding RNA, 737 nt
Filed under: Equus caballus (horse)
Lineage: Eukaryota; Metazoa; Chordata; Mammalia; Perissodactyla; Equidae
Description: lncRNA (ENSECAG00000046202.1)
Source: RNAcentral